CGAGAGGCCCAAACAUUAUUCGGAAUUACUGGGCUUAAAGAGUUCGUAGGCGGCAUGGUAAGUAGGGUGUGAAAUCCCUCGGCUCAACCGAGGAAUUGCGCUCUAAACUACCGUGCUAGAGGAAGCUAGAGGUGAGCGGAACUGAUGGUGGAGCGGUGAAAUGCGUUGAUAUCAUCAGGAACACCGGAGGCGAAGGCGGCUCACUGGGGCUUUUCUGACGCUGAGGAACGAAAGCCAGGGUAGCGAACGGGAUUAGAUACCCCGGUAGUCCUGGCCGUAAACGAUGAGCACUAGGCCGGAGGGCUGCACAGCUUUUCGGCCGUAGCUAAAGUGUUAAGUGCUCCGCCUGGGGAGUAUGGUCGCAAGGCUG
This 370-nucleotide ribosomal RNA is filed under the name uncultured organism. RNAcentral's name for it is "bacterial SSU rRNA". It matches the Rfam family "Bacterial small subunit ribosomal RNA", at positions 526 to 896 of the family's 1533-position model. The record is from RNAcentral.